Rosa rugosa (rugosa rose) is the source of this 745-nucleotide long non-coding RNA. RefSeq lists it as uncharacterized. Lineage: Eukaryota; Viridiplantae; Streptophyta; Magnoliopsida; Rosales; Rosaceae. The transcript has 5 exons. The record is from RefSeq and is a predicted model, not a curated record.
AUAAACUGAGAACAAAACUGCAGCUGACAUCAAACCUGUCCAGUACGAACUCUGAAGCACCCAAGUAUGUGGAACAUAAAAAAAUUUAUGCUGGAAAAACGUAGGAUGGUUUGGAAGAGGCUCUAGAGGUUGGUGAAAAAGUUCACACAGAGGAACAUUCUAAGGAUUUACCAAAGAAACAUGUUGGAUGGAUGCAUGGAGCUCAAAUGGUUGUGUCUAAUAUGCAGGGAUGUGACAAAUAACGAUGGUUGAUGCAUGGGAUGUUUACAGCCAAUGAGAAUGCGGUUACUUGAAAAAGCCUGCCUUUUUUAUGCACAAGGGCUCAAAUGAGGUAGCCAAUUUUAAAUUUUUAGAGGAAGAAAGGUGGUUCUAUCCAGCAUGUCCCACCUGCUCCAAACAAAUGAGAAAGUAACCACAAAGCCAACCUCUUAACAUGCAGCAGGCUGUUUAUAGUAAUAUAUAAGAGAGAUGGGAGUAGAGUAAGUUCCGAAAAGCAGCUCAACUGAAAUUUCAGAGGAGCUAUCAUCUAUUGCAAAUACGGAUCUGACUUUCGUCACUACAAGCCUAAACCAUUUGUUGUCAAGCCUGACCAUGUUUGUUAUAUGUACAUAAACACCUACUAUCGGUAGCAUAUCUAACUUUGAAAUCUAGCCAACUUACCAGAUUUUUGAACAUGUAAAACAAUAUAUAAUAUAUAAUGUAGCAAUCUUAUAUAGACAAUGUUUCUAAAUUCAGUAGCAUUGAA